GAUACAUGGAUCACACAAAGUACUUCUCCAAGAAAAGCCGAGGCAAAUGCACUGACAAGAUUCUUUCAAAGACGCAGAACACAAGCGACCAUGAAAGUAGAAUCUUCUUUGUUGAUGAAACUCAGCCUGGAUUGUUCAGUGUGCUCAUUAAAAACGUCAGUCUGCAGGAUGGUGGGACCUACAGGUGUGGAGUAGAAGACGCAGCAGCAAAGCCUACAGACGUGACACUGCAGGUGAAAGAAGAUCCUUGUUGUGGAAAGACGCUCACACAGGAAGCUCAUCCAGGAGAUACGGUUACCUUUACCUGUGAAUAUCCACAGGAGUCUAAAUAUCUCUCCAAAUACGUGUACAAAGCUACUGAUCACAGCUAUAGUGUGGUCAUACAUGUUCUUGGACUGUCAACACAAAAAGGGAGGUUUUCUCUUUUUGACCAUCCAGAAGAAAACCUCUUCAACGUGAGCAUCAGCGACGUGACUGAAGAGGAUGGAGGAGUUUACCUGUGUGGACUUCAGGGACAAAAGCCAGGAGAUCUGAACCCUUACUACUCCCUCUUCAAUGAAAUAUAGCUUCAGGUUACAGUUUUAAGAAUAUCUACAGUGCCCUCUGUCAUCGUCAUUGUGUGUGUCUGUGUGGUCUUGCUGCUGAUUGGAGGAUUAUUACUGAUCUGCAAACUGAGACGCAACAGGACAGAAGGUUCUCUCAACAUGCAUGUCAGCACAAAUAUCACAGUGAGUAAUCAUGG
Pygocentrus nattereri (red-bellied piranha) is the source of this 742-nucleotide long non-coding RNA. RefSeq lists it as uncharacterized. The transcript is spliced from 4 exons. NCBI's taxonomy places the organism in Eukaryota, Metazoa, Chordata, Actinopteri, Characiformes, Serrasalmidae. The record is from RefSeq and is a predicted model, not a curated record.